This 425-nucleotide ribosomal RNA is filed under the name uncultured bacterium. Its description in RNAcentral is "partial 16S ribosomal RNA". It matches the Rfam family "Bacterial small subunit ribosomal RNA", at positions 354 to 796 of the family's 1533-position model. The record is from RNAcentral.
GUGGGGAAUAUUGGACAAUGGGCGCAAGCCUGAUCCAGCCAUGCCGCGUGAGUGAUGAAGGCCUUAGGGUUGUAAAGCUCUUUCAGUGGGGACGAUAAUGACGGUACCCACAGAAGAAGCCCCGGCUAACUUCGUGCCAGCAGCCGCGGUAAUACGAAGGGGGCUAGCGUUGUUCGGAUUUACUGGGCGUAAAGCGCACGUAGGCGGAUCGUUAAGUCGGGGGUGAAAUCCUGGAGCUCAACUCCAGAACUGCCUUCGAUACUGGCGAUCUUGAGUGCGGAAGAAGUGAGUGGAACUCCUAGUGUAGAGGUGGAAUUCGUAGAUAUUAGGAAGAACACCAGUGGCGAAGGCGGCUCACUGGUCCGGUACUGACGCUGAGGUGCGAAAGCGUGGGGAGCAAACAGGAUUAGAAACCCGGGUAGUCC